AUACGUAGGUGGCAAGCGUUGUCCGGAAUCAUUGGGCGUAAAGAGUUCGUAGGCGGCAUGUCAAGUCUGGUGUUAAAUCCCGAAGCUCAACUUCGGUCCGGCAUCGGAUACUGGCAAGCUUGAAUGCAGUAGAGGUAAAGGGAAUUCCUGGUGUAGCGGUGAAAUGCGUAGAUAUCACGAAGAACUCCGAUCGCGAAGGCAGCCUUCCGGCCCGUCAACGACGCUCAUGCUCGAAGGUGCGGGUAUCAAACAGGAUUAGAUACCCUGGUAGUCCGCACAGUAAACGAUGGACACCCGCGGUUUGGCCUGUAUGGCUGAGCCGCCAAGCGAAAGCGUUAAGUGUCCCACCUGGGGAGUACGCCGGCAACGGUGAAACUCAAAUGAAUUGGCGGGG
RNAcentral lists this ribosomal RNA (394 nucleotides) under uncultured bacterium. RNAcentral describes it as "partial 16S ribosomal RNA". It matches the Rfam family "Bacterial small subunit ribosomal RNA", at positions 523 to 918 of the family's 1533-position model. The record is from RNAcentral.